This is a long non-coding RNA of Dalotia coriaria, 473 nucleotides long. RefSeq lists it as uncharacterized. Lineage: Eukaryota; Metazoa; Arthropoda; Insecta; Coleoptera; Staphylinidae. The transcript has 2 exons. The record is from RefSeq and is a predicted model, not a curated record.
UGGUGUUUUAUCAUACUCAAGCACGUCAAUACCUUGGCACAUAAAAUUUAUCAACUAAAAUGGCUGCAAAUAAGGCAUUGGUGAUUAUUCUUCUCUUCACUCUCAUUGCAGUUGUCUGUUCUAAAGCAGUAGCCGUUCCAAACAAAGCGGAAAGAAUAUGUAUUGAUUUACCAUCGGUUCAUUCCUUCCUUAACUACGUCUAUUUGGGACUUGUUGGUGUAUUGUUUUGCCCAGCAUAAUUCAAAAAUCACACGAGAUGCAAAACGUAUGCUUUAAAAUGGUAUACGAUUUAUUUUUUAUGGUAUGAUUUAAUUACGGAUAUAAUUGAGAAGGAAACUUUUCGAAUAUAUUGAUUGUCCCAAUUUUAAUACGUAUUUCACAUUUAUUUUUUAUUUUUUAUGUUGAAUUGCAUAAACAUUAGAAUUAUUAUUAAGAAAUCAAUAUGGUAUAAAAUAAAUUAACAAUGUACAUAA